This 76-nucleotide transfer RNA is filed under the name Saccharomyces cerevisiae (brewer's yeast). Its description in RNAcentral is "tRNA-Arg". It matches the Rfam family "tRNA". From Rfam's summary of the family: Transfer RNA (tRNA) molecules are approximately 80 nucleotides in length. Their secondary structure includes four short double-helical elements and three loops (D, anti-codon, and T loops). The record is from RNAcentral. Lineage: Eukaryota; Fungi; Ascomycota; Saccharomycetes; Saccharomycetales; Saccharomycetaceae.
GCUCUCUUAGCUUAAUGGUUAAAGCAUAAUACUUCUAAUAUUAAUAUUCCAUGUUCAAAUCAUGGAGAGAGUUCCA